This 207-nucleotide signal recognition particle RNA is filed under the name Homo sapiens (human). Its description in RNAcentral is "Metazoan signal recognition particle RNA". It matches the Rfam family "Metazoan signal recognition particle RNA", at positions 68 to 274 of the family's 299-position model. Rfam says of the family: The signal recognition particle (SRP) is a universally conserved ribonucleoprotein. It is involved in the co-translational targeting of proteins to membranes. The eukaryotic SRP consists of a 300-nucleotide 7S RNA and six proteins: SRPs 72, 68, 54, 19, 14, and 9. The record is from Rfam by way of RNAcentral. Lineage: Eukaryota; Metazoa; Chordata; Mammalia; Primates; Hominidae.
AAGAGACCUUUAAGACAGCUGGCCAUUAUGCUGACUGGGUGUCUGCACUAAGUUUGGCAUCAAUAUGGUGACCUCCUGGGAGCGGGGGACCACCAGGUUGCCUAAGGAUGGGAGAACUGGCCCAGGUCAGAAAUGGAGCAGGUCAGAAUUCCUGCACCAAUCGGUAGUGGGACUGUGCCUGGGCAAUAUAGCAAGAUCUUGGUUCUU